This 253-nucleotide ribosomal RNA is filed under the name uncultured bacterium. Its description in RNAcentral is "partial 16S ribosomal RNA". It matches the Rfam family "Bacterial small subunit ribosomal RNA", at positions 524 to 776 of the family's 1533-position model. RNAcentral also lists the same sequence under 1 other name. The record is from RNAcentral.
UACGUAGGGUGCAAGCGUUAAUCGGAAUUACUGGGCGUAAAGCGUGCGCAGGCGGUUUUGUAAGUCUGUCGUGAAAGCCCCGGGCUUAACCUGGGAAUUGCGAUGGAGACUGCAAGGCUUGAAUCUGGCAGAGGGGGGUAGAAUUCCACGUGUAGCAGUGAAAUGCGUAGAGAUGUGGAGGAACACCGAUGGCGAAGGCAGCCCCCUGGGUCAAGAUUGACGCUCAUGCACGAAAGCGUGGGGAGCAAACAGG